RNAcentral lists this ribosomal RNA (253 nucleotides) under uncultured bacterium. RNAcentral's name for it is "partial 16S ribosomal RNA". It matches the Rfam family "Bacterial small subunit ribosomal RNA", at positions 524 to 776 of the family's 1533-position model. The record is from RNAcentral.
UACGUAGGAUGCAAGCGUUAAUCGGAAUUACUGGGCGUAAAGCGUGCGCAGGCGGUUUCGUAAGUCUGUCGUGAAAUCCCCGGGCUUAACCUGGGAAUGGCGAUGGAGACUGCGAGGCUAGAGUUUGGCAGAGGGGGGUAGAAUUCCACGUGUAGCAGUGAAAUGCGUAGAGAUGUGGAGGAACACCGAUGGCGAAGGCAGCCCCCUGGGUCAAAACUGACGCUCAUGCACGAAAGCGUGGGGAGCAAACAGG